UAUGUUAGCUUGCUAAUAUAUUUAGUAGCAAAUGGGUGAGUAACACGUACCUAACCUACCUUUUGGACCGGGAUAACUAUUGGAAACAGCAGCUAAUACCGGAUAAAAUAAAAAAAUGCAUGUUUUUUUAUUAAAAGGAGCCUUUAAAGCUCCACCAAAAAAUGGGGGUGCGCAACAUUAGUUAGUUGGUAGGGUAAAGGCCUACCAAGACGAUGAUGUUUAGCGGGGCCAAGAGGCUGUACCGCCACACUGGGAUUGAGAUACGGCCCAGACUCCUACGGGAGGCAGCAGUAAGGAAUAUUCCACAAUGAGCGAAAGCUUGAUGGAGCGACACAGAGUGCAGGAUGAAGUCUUUAGGGAUGUAAACUGCUGUUGUAAGGGAAGAAAAAACUAGAUAGGAAAUGAUUUAGUCUUGACGGUACCUUAUUAGAAAGUGACGGCAAACUAUGUGCCAGCAGCCGCGGUAAUACAUAGGUCGCAAGCGUUAUCCGGAAUUAUUGGGCGUAAAGCGUCCGCAGGUUUUUUGUUAAGUUUAAGGUUAAAUGCUAAAGCUCAACUUUAGUUCGCUUUAGAUACUGACAAAAUAGAAUUAUGAAGAGGUUAGCGGAAUUCCUAGUGGAGCGGUGGAAUGCGUAGAUAUUAGGAAGAACACCAAUAGGCGAAGGCAGCUAACUGGUCAUAUAUUGACACUAAUGGACGAAAGCGUGGGGAGCAAACAGGAUUAGAUACCCUGGUAGUCCACGCCGUAAACGAUGAUCAUUAGUUGGUGGCAAAAGUCACUAGCACAGCUAACGCGUUAAAUGAUCCGCCUGAGUAGUAUGCUCGCAAGAGUGAAACUUAAAGGAAUUGACGGGAACCCGCACAAGCGGUGGAGCAUGUGGUUUAAUUUGAAGAUACGCGUAGAACCUUACCCACUCUU
RNAcentral lists this ribosomal RNA (919 nucleotides) under Mesomycoplasma ovipneumoniae. RNAcentral describes it as "bacterial SSU rRNA". It matches the Rfam family "Bacterial small subunit ribosomal RNA", at positions 71 to 982 of the family's 1533-position model. Lineage: Bacteria; Bacillati; Mycoplasmatota; Mycoplasmoidales; Metamycoplasmataceae. The record is from RNAcentral.